This 497-nucleotide ribosomal RNA is filed under the name uncultured bacterium. RNAcentral describes it as "partial 16S ribosomal RNA". It matches the Rfam family "Bacterial small subunit ribosomal RNA", at positions 28 to 507 of the family's 1533-position model. The record is from RNAcentral.
GAUGAACGCUGGCGGCGUGCCUAAUACAUGCAAGUCGAGCGAACAGAUGAGGAGCUUGCUCCUCUGACGUUAGCGGCGGACGGGUGAGUAACACGUGGAUAACCUACCUAUAAGACUGGGAUAACUUCGGGAAACCGGAGCUAAUACCGGAUAAUAUAUUGAACCGCAUGGUUCAAUAGUGAAAGACGGUUUUGCUGUCACUUAUAGAUGGAUCCGCGCCGCAUUAGCUAGUUGGUAAGGUAACGGCUUACCAAGGCAACGAUGCGUAGCCGACCUGAGAGGGUGAUAGGCCACACUGGAACUGAGACACGGUCCAGACUCCUACGGGAGGCAGCAGUAGGGAAUCUUACGCAAUGGGCGAAAGCCUGACGGAGCAACGCCGCGUGAGUGAUGAAGGUCUUCGGAUCGUAAAACUCUGUUAUUAGGGAAGAACAAAUGUGUAAGUAACUAUGCACGUCUUGACGGUACCUAAUCAGAAAGCCACGGCUAACUACGUG